UGAAUUUUUCUCAUUCUGUGCAUUCCUAAUUGGAAGAAGAUAAUCAACAUCUAAUAUUAUGUUACUCUCAGUAUAUUAGAAAUGGUCGAAUCAUAAACCAAUUAAGGAUAAUGUAAGGAAGACAUAAAGAUGUAUUUCCAGUUAUCACAAAUAUAGAAUCAAUUGAUAACAACUUAAUUAUGUCCAGCGUAGGACAACAGAGAAGAGUUUCCAUACCUUCUAAUAUUAUAAUAUCUCACUAUAUUAGUGGCUAAAUCAGUUUUCUCUAGCACAAAUAUUCACUCCAUUGUUGGAGUUUAAGCUUUUCUAUCUCAUGAUAUUAGUAGUUUGAUCCAAAAAAAAAAAGAAACAGUCAAACUGUACAUUGUAAUUAGAGAAAGAAAACAAACAAAAAUCAACCGAAGACUUUUAAGGUAUAUGAAACAAAAAUUAAAAAUAGCAAUUCUCUGCAAUUAAAGAAUAAGGCAAUAAAAUUGUAAAAAUACAAAAUAAAACAAAAAAUAUACACAGAAAGAAAGAUUUAGUAAAAUAAAAUCAUAAUAUAAUUUUCAUAACUGAAAGUGCUCAGUUACACUAAAAAGUCUAGAUUUACAACAUACACAAUUUUAUUUACAUCUUUAAACAUAUUAUCUAAUUAAAAUGAUUCUAAAAAAGUGUCAGCAUGAAGAGUUAGAAAAUAUACGAUAAAAAAAAUACAUAACGUUAAAAAUACAUUAUCACUGAUCACUAAAAAAUCAUGUUAGUAGUAAUAAAAAAUGAAAUGACAACACAUUUAUUAAAACCAUAGAACGGCACGCAAC
RNAcentral lists this long non-coding RNA (800 nucleotides) under Brassica rapa (field mustard). Its description in RNAcentral is "long non-coding RNA (BRAP_LNC003237)". The record is from RNAcentral. Lineage: Eukaryota; Viridiplantae; Streptophyta; Magnoliopsida; Brassicales; Brassicaceae.